AGGGCUGUUUGAAAAAAAUAUAAUUUUCUAUUUUAAAAUUGAAUUUAAUUCAGUGGCGGGCACAAUAACUGUUGAGGCGCCCUCGUACACGUGCACCGAUCGGACGCGCGUGUAGUUUUUUGACCGGUACGUCAGCCGUUGCGUGACAACGGCAGUUUUCCGCUGGCUCUCGAAGCGGUCGGACGUGUGUCUGUGCGUGUGCGUCUGUUUGUUAAAUUAUUAAAUAAAUUAUUAAACCGCGACCGCGACCGCGACGUGAAUUAAUUAAAGUGAUUCUGUGCUGUGUUGUGCUGUGAAAUUUUAAGGAUAUUUUGUACAAGGGACCUUUUAACCGGUCGUACUGUUGCUCGCCCAACACGAAUGCAAAGAUUGCAUUAAACAGUCGUCAAAUGUGCUAACCAUUGCAAUCUCCGCUUGGAGUUAAGAAUUUUGAGAGCUCAAAAGCUGGGAUUGCUUUACGGACUGGUUGCGACCGGCCAGCGGGAUUCGGAAGACUUCAAAGACGUUCUUCGUCUGGUUCUUCAGAAAUUAUUUUUUUUAACUUACAAUAAUUAUUAUUGAACGUUGUUAUAAAUUUGUGUGAUUGAUUAUGUUUUAUGAAUAAACGCUAGAGAAAUG
This is a long non-coding RNA of Tribolium castaneum (red flour beetle), 618 nucleotides long. RefSeq lists it as uncharacterized. Lineage: Eukaryota; Metazoa; Arthropoda; Insecta; Coleoptera; Tenebrionidae. The transcript has 4 exons. The record is from RefSeq and is a predicted model, not a curated record.